Molecule: ribosomal RNA, 791 nt
Filed under: uncultured bacterium
Lineage: Bacteria
Description: bacterial SSU rRNA
Rfam family: Bacterial small subunit ribosomal RNA
Source: RNAcentral
AGAGUUUGAUCAUGGCUCAGAUUGAACGCUGGCGGCAUGCUUUACACAUGCAAGUCGAACGGCAGCNNNNGGGAACCUGGCGGCGAGUGGCGAACGGGUGAGUAAUAUAUCGGAACGUACCCAGGAGUGGGGGAUAACGUAGCGAAAGUUACGCUAAUACCGCAUACGAUCUACGGAUGAAAGCAGGGGAUCGCAAGACCUUGUGCUCGUGGAGCGGCCGAUAUCUGAUUAGCUAGUUGGUGAGGUAAAGGCUCACCAAGGCGACGAUCAGUAGCUGGUCUGAGAGGACGACCAGCCACACUGGAACUGAGACACGGUCCAGACUCCUACGGGAGGCAGCAGUGGGGAAUUUUGGACAAUGGGCGAAAGCCUGAUCCAGCAAUGCCGCGUGAGUGAAGAAGGCCUUCGGGUUGUAAAGCUCUUUUGUCAGGGAAGAAACGGCUGAGGUUAAUACCUUCGGCUAAUGACGGUACCUGAAGAAUAAGCACCGGCUAACUACGUGCCAGCAGCCGCGGUAAUACGUAGGGUGCAAGCGUUAAUCGGAAUUACUGGGCGUAAAGCGUGCGCAGGCGGUUUUGUAAGUCUGUCGUGAAAGCCCCGGGCUUAACCUGGGAAUUGCGAUGGAGACUGCAAGGCUUGAAUCUGGCAGAGGGGGGUAGAAUUCCACGUGUAGCAGUGAAAUGCGUAGAGAUGUGGAGGAACACCGAUGGCGAAGGCAGCCCCCUGGGUCAAGAUUGACGCUCAUGCACGAAAGCGUGGGGAGCAAACAGGAUUAGAUACCCUAGUAGUCC